UACGUAGGGGGCAAGCGUUGUCCGGAUUCAUUGGGCGUAAAGAGCGCGCAGGCGGUCGUACAAGUCGCGUGUGAAAGCCCCCGGCUCAACUGGGGAGGGUCACGCGAUACUGUUCGACUCGAAGGCAGGAGAGGGAAGCGGAAUUCCCGGUGUAGUGGUGAAAUGCGUAGAUAUCGGGAGGAACACCAGUGGCGAAGGCGGCUUCCUGGCCUGUUCUUGACGCUGAGGCGCGAAAGCUAGGGUAGCAAACGGG
RNAcentral lists this ribosomal RNA (253 nucleotides) under uncultured bacterium. Its description in RNAcentral is "partial 16S ribosomal RNA". It matches the Rfam family "Bacterial small subunit ribosomal RNA", at positions 524 to 776 of the family's 1533-position model. The record is from RNAcentral.